Molecule: unclassified non-coding RNA, 240 nt
Filed under: soil metagenome
Description: partial contains 5.8S ribosomal RNA, internal transcribed spacer 2, and large subunit ribosomal RNA
Source: RNAcentral
AACGGUCUAUACCUGCGGUACCUGCGGAAGGAUCAUUACCGAGUUAUCAACUCCCAAACCCCUGUGAACAUACCCGAACGUUGCCUCGGCGGGACCGCCCCGGCGCCCCUAGCGGCCCGGAACCAGGCGCCCGCCGGAGGACCCAAACUCUUGCUUUAAACAGUGGCAUACCCUCUGAGUCUCACAAACAAAAAAUAAAUCAAAACUUUCAACAACGGAUCUCUAGAUCGGAAGAGCACA